AGCCACGGCCAUGUCACCCUGCAGCCCAAGACUGGUUACUCACUGAAGCUAAGCAGGGCUGAGCCUGGUCAGUACCUGUAUGGGAGACCACUAGGGAACACUAGGUUGCUGUUGGAA
Molecule: ribosomal RNA, 117 nt
Filed under: Danio rerio (zebrafish)
Lineage: Eukaryota; Metazoa; Chordata; Actinopteri; Cypriniformes; Danionidae
Source: RNAcentral